UACGGAGGAUGCGAGCGUUAUCCGGAAUUAUUGGGCGUAAAGGGUGCGCAGGCGGUUUGAAAAGUUUAAGGUGAAAGCGUGGGGCUUAACCCCAUACAGCCUUAGAAACUGUCAGACUAGAGUACAGGAGAGGACAAUGGAAUUCCAUGUGUAGCGGUAAAAUGCGUAGAUAUAUGGAGGAACACCAGUGGCGAAGGCGGUUGCCUGGCCUGUAACUGACGCUCAUGCACGAAAGCGUGGGGAGCAAAUAGG
This 252-nucleotide ribosomal RNA is filed under the name uncultured bacterium. RNAcentral's name for it is "partial 16S ribosomal RNA". It matches the Rfam family "Bacterial small subunit ribosomal RNA", at positions 524 to 776 of the family's 1533-position model. The record is from RNAcentral.